GACGGGACCGCACAAGCGGUGGAUGAUGUGGAUUAAUUCGAUGCAACGCGAAAACCUUACCUACCCUUGACAUGUCCGGAAUCCCGAAGAGAUUUGGGAGUGCUCGCAAGAGAACCGGAACACAGGUGCUGCAUGGCUGUCGUCAGCUCGUGUCGUGAGAUGUUGGGUUAAGUCCCGCAACGAGCGCAACCCUUGUCAUUAGUUGCCAUCAUUUGGUUGGGCACUCUAAUGAGACUGCCGGUGACAAACCGGAGGAAGGUGGGGAUGACGUCAAGUCCUCAUGGCCCUUAUGGGUAGGGCUUCACACGUCAUACAAUGGUCGGUACAGAGGGUUGCCAACCCGCGAGGGGGAGCUAAUCCCACAAAGCCGAUCGUAGUCCGGAUCGCAGUCUGCAACUCGACUGCGUGAAGUCGGAAUCGCUAGUAAUCGUGAAUCAGAAUGUCACGGUGAAUACGUUCCCGGGCCUU
This 468-nucleotide ribosomal RNA is filed under the name uncultured Rhodocyclaceae bacterium. RNAcentral describes it as "bacterial SSU rRNA". It matches the Rfam family "Bacterial small subunit ribosomal RNA", at positions 917 to 1381 of the family's 1533-position model. The record is from RNAcentral. Lineage: Bacteria; Pseudomonadati; Pseudomonadota; Betaproteobacteria; Rhodocyclales; Rhodocyclaceae.